This 270-nucleotide ribosomal RNA is filed under the name Bacillus thuringiensis. RNAcentral's name for it is "partial 16S ribosomal RNA". It matches the Rfam family "Bacterial small subunit ribosomal RNA", at positions 49 to 307 of the family's 1533-position model. The record is from RNAcentral. Lineage: Bacteria; Bacillati; Bacillota; Bacilli; Caryophanales; Bacillaceae.
UAAUACAUGCAAGUCGAGCGAAUGGAUUAAGAGCUUGCUCUUAUGAAGUUAGCGGCGGACGGGUGAGUAACACGUGGGUAACCUGCCCAUAAGACUGGGAUAACUCCGGGAAACCGGGGCUAAUACCGGAUAACAUUUUGAACCGCAUGGUUCGAAAUUGAAAGGCGGCUUCGGCUGUCACUUAUGGAUGGACCCGCGUCGCAUUAGCUAGUUGGUGAGGUAACGGCUCACCAAGGCAACGAUGCGUAGCCGACCUGAGAGGGUGAUCGG